Molecule: long non-coding RNA, 312 nt
Filed under: Helianthus annuus (common sunflower)
Lineage: Eukaryota; Viridiplantae; Streptophyta; Magnoliopsida; Asterales; Asteraceae
Description: sRNA HanXRQr2_Chr11g0485711
Source: RNAcentral
UUACCCAUAUAGUAAUUCAGCCUCCCUCACCACUUAAAUCUACAACUUAACAUACCACCAAAAAAAGCCCUAAACUUUCAGCACCUAUCACAAAUCUUGAAAAAAGGCCCAAGAAAUCUGAGCAAAUAGCAGGUGAAAUUGGGGAUGAUUACAUGAAAUAAUAUCAAGAAAUGAUGUGUGAAAGGAGUGUUGAGGUGGACUUUGUAACCGUCCCUGAGAAGAAGCACAAUAGGGGGGUGGGGUGGGGUGGGGUGCUUUGAUUUUUGCUAUUUGGAUUCUUGAAGAAUGCUGCCAAAAGACCAAAUCAAGUGA